This 540-nucleotide long non-coding RNA is filed under the name Theobroma cacao (cacao). RNAcentral's name for it is "long non-coding RNA (TCAC_LNC003231)". Lineage: Eukaryota; Viridiplantae; Streptophyta; Magnoliopsida; Malvales; Malvaceae. The record is from RNAcentral.
CAAGGCACUAGUUUUGAAGAUAAAACAAAUAAAACACUUUAGGGAUUCAAUCAAACAUACUUGUAUACACAUCCCAAAACCUUUUUAAUGCAAGUUCACUCACCGAUAUUUGUUGAAUCUUUAAUUGACUUUAACUUUGAUUAUUGCUUCAAACGGACAUGUGAGGCCUUGUUGGAACCUAUCACCCACAAUGUAACUAUAAAAAAUAUAACAACCCAUAAAUCUAAUUUCUAGCCAUUUCUAACACCUUAAAAUCAAAUUCUAACUCAUUUCUCACCUUGGUGGUUUUUUUUUUGUAGUUGAAUUCCUUUUCAAAAGCUUCCAAGCUACUAUGGCAAGUCUCUUUUUCUCUUUCUAAAACUUUCAGCUAGUGAGAGAAAGUGCUGAACAAAGACUUUUUGAGGGUUUUAAGGUGUAAAAGUGGAAGAGCAUGAAAAACUGUAUGAAAGAGUGGGCAAAAGCAUGAAAUUUGGAGCUAUAAAGAGAAAGUUAUGGAAGUUGCAAAGCAAGCUUCCAUGGAGGAUGGAAGCAACGUGAGAU